GUCAUUACAUCAUUCCUUGCCAAAGUAGAGGAUUUCUGAAGGAGGGAUGGAUACUGCUUGGCCUUUAAGAAUAGGUUUAAAAAUUAUUGACAAAUGAGACAGAUGUGUCCUGCUUGACAAUUACAGAUGAUGACGGUAGAAUUGGGUUUGGAGUCAUGACAGAAAAUGGGUUUGGGAUCCAUCUGAACACCAGCAUACCAUUAUUCCAGGUUAUAAAGAUGUACAUCAUACCGUGAUGAGCAAACUCCAGCUGCUGGAGGAAAAAGCAAAAGCAGUCCUACUUGCAGGUCUGUAAAACUGAUUAUUAUACUGGUAAUCUUCUAGAAUUUUAUUUCUCAUCCUUCUCCAGUAAUACACAGCAUGUCAGUAUUAAACAUUUACAAGGCAAAAUUUCUAAGUAUGCAAUAAUGUAGGCAUACAUAAGUGGGCUGCGGCUCUAGUAUAGUUUUGAUAUUAUCUUGGUUUUAUUUUUGAUAAAUGAUGGGUACUUUCUCCUUUUAAAUGGGAUAUUAAGGACUGAUUUAAACCUUACUAUUUAAUGAGGUCAAAAUGAGCCUUGAAAUAAUUCAGAACCUAGUCUGCUCAGCAGCAGCUAACAGACUAGGGAGCAUGCAGCCCCCGCUUUUUGUCCCUGCUGUGAAGAGCAGGAUUGAUGAGGCCAGUUUCCAAACCCUCCCAAUCUCAGGGACCAGGUUAUUUUAAUGGCUCCAAUAAAGUGUUCCUCAGACAACAAUUAAAGACAUUCUUCAAGGCCUGAAAAGCACAUAGUCCAUAGAGGACAGGGUCAAAAAUAGUCAAAGAACGAGAAAGUGGAACUAAGGAAAUAACAGUACCAGGUAUCUUCAUGUAAAUGGCAGAAAUUUUGGGGGUUUUGUUGUUCUUGUUUACCACAGGUUCCCUUUGCUCUAGAUUUUUAAUGUCCAUUUAUAUUCACUUCCACCAUGCAAAAUAAUAACCUAUUUGUAGUUAACCUCAAACAGCGAGGAAGCAGUUAUCUCCACACAAACCUGAAAGGGACCGUAGCUUCUGGCACAAGUAUGAAUGCUGGGGCAUCUGUGGGCAAAUGAAUUAAUUGCACAAUCUCUGUCCAUCUCCCUCCCUGUUUAAUUAAAAAAAAAAAAAAAACAAACUAAAACAAAAAACCAAUACUGCCUCUCCACUGCCAGUAAAAGCAGCUACUGUGGUAACCUCACAUUGUACCUGCCUGAGCUGCUGUCUCCCAGAUGAACUUUGCUGUAUUCCUCACUGGAAGGUUACAGUUGCAAGUAAAUUUUAGUCUUUUCUCCAGAAGUAUGAAACAAAUUUACACACCUAAAACUUGUCAGAUUUUUAAAUUCAUACUCCAUAUAAUUAUACAGCAUCCAGUUUGCCUCCCACAAAAAUGUCUGCCUCACUGAGACCAUGCAGGGGCAAAAUGAAGUUCAGGGUGGUAUCUAUAACCCUAUUAUUUCCUAGCCUGACUGGUGACCUAAAUAAAACUUUCAGUAUUAGUUUUUUCCAAAAUGUAAUUUAUACUAUGGCUGUCAGGAGUUAAGAUAGCAGUUGCCAUGGAGCUUUAAUCUUUUUUUAGGCUUUAGUCAAAGGAAGCUGGAAAUCUGUAUGCUGCGUAGAACCCUUCUCAACAGAAUUUUAUUUAAAUCAGGACAGGUUUUUAUCCUAAUUUCUGUACUGAAAGUUAUUCUCAAAGGUUCUAGAAUUCUUUUGAUUUUACUGUGUUUCUCAGCAGGAGAUGGAAGUUUCCUUUUAGGCUUCUUAAAUCACACUACAUUCAACCACAGAAGUACCCAAGUUGCUUCCCCCUUCACUCCUCCAACUAUAAAACUGUAACUUUCUACUAGUCUUAAUGUGCACAGCUAAUCACUGCAGUGAAAUUAAUUCACCAGUUGUACCAUUUUCAGUGGAGGCACUCUGUAAGUAUGCAGAAACAAAACUUUGGGGAGGAUUUUAUUUUCUGUGUGCCCAUUAAGCGCUAAUCCAUACGCACAAAAACAGGCCUUCGGAACAGAAGUAAUUACGGUUUGGAUCUGCGUGUAUGCUACUUGUAACUUCCUUGAUGUAUAUUUAAGAAAAAAAAGGAUGCAAUGAGCGAACCACAUCUCUGAAGUGUGAAAUUGGCCAUGCUAGUCAGUAAUGUUCGGCUAGAACACAGUUGCAGCAGAACAGAGAUACAGUCCAGCCUGAUACUUGCAGCUAAAACCUUGCUGACUGACUUAAAAUUGAACUCUCCCUACCAGGUAAGCCAAAAGAACGUAGAAAUAGGGGAAAAAAAGAAGCAGAAUUUGUCAAAAUAAGCUUUUAGAACUCUUACCCUACACCCCAAACCACAGCUUCACUUAACGAAAAAUUUGCUAGAAUUUUCACCAAAUAGAACUGUUUACUGUCCAGCUGUAGUGGAAAUCCAUAAUCCUUGAGCUGUUCCAAAGAAUCAGAAAAUUGGCACAAAAGAGAGGAUUUCAAACUUCUUCAAUUCUUUCAUGGCAGGCAUUAUAAGAGAGGUAUGAUAAUAGUAAAAAAUAAACAUUUUUUCCUUCUAGGAUAAGUCUGUGGGACUUGAAUAUCACAGUAACAUCUAGUUUUACCACUGACAGCAAAGUGUCUUACCUAACUAGCACUGGACAGAAGAAAAGUUCCUGUGAGUUUGAGUGACAGCCCUGCUCAUCAUCUUGAGAUGAUCAGAUGCAAAACCAACUAUCUAUUCCACUGAAACAAAAAUAAUUAUUUGGAGAAGUAUCCGCUAGCAGCCGCGAAGAACCUGAAGAAAACUAGACUGUCUGAUUAAAGAAACAAGGAGCAUCUCAGGUCUCUUAAAUACAGCUAUUCAGAGACAUAACUGUUCACUGCGCCCAAGAAAAGCAAUGCACUGUGAACAAGGUUCAGAAAGCCAUAAUGGUCAAGGAAACUGCUUAAAGUAGCUCAAAAGAACUUUUGAGAGGUGAGGGGAGAGAAGUGCGUAUCUUCAGGAACAGAUGCUUUACUCUGAAUUGCAGGGAGAUACACAUCUCUGUUCAAGGUUUUCAACCUUUGAGUUAGGCUCUUAUAGGAAACUCUCACAAAACAGCAAGCGCCACUACUUUCCUAAUCUCAUCUGACUCGCCUAGUGCAGACCUUCCCAAAAUACAUCUCAGUUAAUUUGUCUUGUCUGUGUCAUUCCACAGGUCAAACCAUACUUGGCCUGCCUCAAAAGCCUCCUCCACAGACACUAGCCAGGGUUGCUAGUUCUGACAAAGGAAGAUAUGCUACUUUAAGCUAUAACAUAAAAAAAGAUGUUUUUUCUUUGCCAGUGAUACAUUUCUUUGCUGAGACUCGCCGCGUAGACAGGCUGCUGUUCAGGACUAAUACAUCUGCCAUUUGAGUUUAAAGCAAGCUUCAGCAAGCAAUAGCUACUGAUACAGUAUUAGCUUUGAGAUACGCAACAGAAGGAACUUCAGACAUAUUACCUGAUGUGAUAAAGUAUCUUCAUGAUUUGCAGGGGCUUUUAUCAUUGCUCUGUUAGAUUCAGGUAUGUAUGGGGGGGAAAAAAAAAAAAAAGUCUCUAUUAGAUUGCAGCAUUUAAAGCAAGUUGGACUUUCAUAUGAAAACUGUGGUAUUUUUUCAGUCUGAGGUGCCAAUGUCAAAGACUUAAGAGAGCUACUAGAGGUGCGACCUCUUAAUAAAAGAAGUAUGUAUGCAGGUUAGAGGGAGAAAGAACUCUUGAGCCCUUAACUUGCUGGUGUAGCAAUUGCUAGUUUUGUCCCAAUAGGCUGGUGGUGUUUUAGGGGAGACCAAAUGGGGUGCAGUUCAACCCAGCUGAGUCUAAAAGAGUAAAAGCUCAGAUUGAGACUUUAAGAAUCAGAUCUGUUGCAGUCAGAAAUAGUACAAGCCACUGAAGUGCCAAACUGGUCAUUUUUAAGCAUUAAUUCAGACAAGCUGUAGUAGUUUCCCUCAAGCUGAAGGUAGGGGCUUUUAAAUGAAGAAAAAAAGGAUCUUCAAAGUUAGGAAACGCCAUCUUCUUUACAAAGGCCCAUUUCAGCUCUAAAGGAACAUCCAAAAAUGAAAAUCCUUAGAUAAAUUCUGGGAAGAAUGGGGCAUUUCACUUACCACCCUUCUGUACCAUUUUUAAGACUUGUCAGUAUCACAUUACUAUUUCUAGUUAAUGCUUGGCAAGGAAAUACAGUUAAAACUAAAAUAGAGAGGUAUUAUCAUUGUGCUUUUUAGCAGUCAACAGGUAUGAAUGUACGACUGAUGCAGAAGACUAUACUUUAAGAAUUUGUACCCAUCAUGGCUGGUAAUUAACGGUAUUUGGAUUCAGGCAGCUUAAACAAGAUUAACUAAUACACAGCAACUGGAAGAAAUCUGCGUUAAUCUUUAGUGCUAUUCCAGACCUGCCAGAAUUUCAGAGUCCAAAAAAAAAUGCAGUAUCUGCUGGAGAUAGCAAGAUGGCCUUAUAAUAUAGACAACAAGUAUUAUUAAAUUGCUCAUUUUGCUUUCAAAACAGUAAGCUUUCUACUAGGUGUAUUUUUUUUUUUUUUUGCUUUAAAGUUUGGAUUGAUUAAAUGAUUCUUUCGUCAAGAUUAGUCAAGUCGGUUCAUGGGACAAUGACCAAGAAAUACUCUUGCUCUGAUACUAUCGCUUUUAAAUAGUUAUGGGGGACCUUUUGCUGUUUGAUGAUCUGGCAUGAUUUCAAAACUGAAAGGCAAAAAGCGAGAACUUAGAAGUGCACCAUAUUUUCAUAAGCUUUGAGAAAAUAAAGCAUAACCUAAGCUGAUUAGGAUGUAGCAUUCAUUUUCAUGAGGAAGCAAUUUCCUGUGUAGUUACCUACACUUCUAUCAACUUCAAAAGUUUUUACCCAGAUUUUUUUUUUGCAAGCAGCUACACUUACUUCAUGAUAGUCAAUACACAUCUUGAAGAUGAACUCAUUUAACAGUAUUUACUUUUUUCACUUCACUAAUGAGGUUCAUCCCUUUAAGAGAAGGAACUCAACAUUAAGAAGCAACAUAACAGUUCUCUGCUUACCUUUCUGAUUUCACACUAGCAUCUUAUGUACGUCUUUGGCAAUUACCAUUGAUCUUCUAUGAAAAUGGAUGCAAAACCACAGAAUCUGGGUAUGGUUAGGACACGUGGUGAAAUGCUAAAUGCCAGAUAACAUCAGAUCUUUUCUAAUGUACAUUUUAACAACAAAUUAGCAAGACUACUUAAAAUAGGUGGUUUUAGAUGUAUCUGUGUAUGUUUGAGGCACACUGCUAAUCUGCUUAUGAACUGAAUUAUUUCUCAUUGAACAAUUUCAUUUAUUAGGCAAGCAAAUGCCAUUUCCCCAGUAAUAUCUUCACUGGAAACCUUGAGAAUUCAUAUUUCCUACUGGAAGGUCCAUUAGCAUAAAAUAAAGCAUCCCUGCAUUAGAGAUAUUUAUCUGGACCACUUUCAGAACCUAAAAUUUUCUUUCUGUAACUCCACAACAUACACUUCCUACUUUAGCAAUUAUUCCAGAUGAAUUAUAUAAAAGACUCCCAGCUUUAUCCUCUGCCUUGGAAAAAAAGUAUUCUUGAUUUAGCCAGCAGAAAUUCAAGCAAUGCCUUUCAAGAUAAAUUAGUAAAGUUAAUAGUUACAAUUUCACUUGUACUUUGUUCUGCAACUUCAGUGUUUACUUAAGUGAUGUUUGUUUUUUCAUACUAGGGAGCAUCGCCACUCAGGUAGACAUUAGAUGUUGAUACAAUCCCCAAGCCCAGGCCUUCCAACCAGUCCUCCCAAGAAGGAAAUUUAAGAAUCUUCAAGCUGUACUUAAUAGGAAAGCGAAUAAAAUACACAGAGGAUGACUUACGACACUUAUCUCCCAAUAGCUGGCCUGAUCAUUUUCCAUCAGUAGCCAUGAUCCAGACCCUCAAGAAGACUAUAUUGGCCACUUCAGAUUAGCUGCUAGGCCUGGAAAGCAACGGGGCCUUGGGAUAAGGUUUACCUUCUCUCCCACCCUGCUGGUGGUCAGAGCCCUUACAGUGGUUUCCUGCAAGAGCUGUUUGCUUACUGUGGUACAAAUCUCCCCAGUGGAGCCAGUUCACUUAAUACACCUACAAUUUUAGAGCAAAAAUUCAAAACACUGGCUUUAUACUCCCCUGCCAUAUGUUAACUAGUAUUACUUGCAAAUGCUAAAUCCUGUUAAGGAAUCCGAUCAUAACUGUGGAAACAGGCCCAGUAUUUUACGUAGCUUAUAAUAUUUAGAGUCCUGCGCAUUGAUUCGUACGAUCUGGCCCAGCAGCACUGAGGCUUUCUUUAUGCCAAGCACAGUGCAUCCAGCCCUCCCGCCCCAGCCAUCACAGCCCUCCAGCGGAGAUGCAGGAGGCAAUUUUGAUGGCAUUCAUCCAUCAUGGCUUGCUUUUGCUCAUCUGCCUUCUGGGCUGCUCUCAACCCAGCACAACCGCUUUUCACCCAGGCUUGGCCAGACACAGCACCACUUCUCCCUCUGUGCUGUCCAGGGAGACCUUAGCAGCAAAGAGCAGAGACCUACAGGGACUUCUGCAUGCUUGCAGCCCACCUAGAGACAACCUCUGCACACAGGCCCGCAGAGCUGCUCCGUCUACCUUGCCAAGCCAGCCAGGGCCCAGGCAGUCUCAAGGAAAAACACCUUUGAGCAGGAACCCGAGGUGCAAGCUUUGGAACACUACUCACUUUUUUACUAGCAUCUCCCCUUGCAAAGCAGCAGGAACAGCUGUUUUAAUCUUUUUUCCACCUCCUCUAAGGUGUGGGGGGUGAGGAAGUUCACUUUUAACUACCACCCAAGUAGUGUUUAGAUACUACCAGCAUACUUCAGGACAACACUGUUAGGUAGCCUGUCGGAAACGUGCUGGAAUUUGUCUACUGGCUCUGUGCCAGUCAUGCAUAUGUUUGUUUUUUAUUAUCUAUCAAAACUUUUAUUGAAAGCUUUUGCCUUCAGG
Tyto alba (common barn owl) is the source of this 6902-nucleotide long non-coding RNA. RefSeq lists it as uncharacterized. The transcript is spliced from 3 exons. The record is from RefSeq and is a predicted model, not a curated record. Lineage: Eukaryota; Metazoa; Chordata; Aves; Strigiformes; Tytonidae.